RNAcentral lists this ribosomal RNA (404 nucleotides) under uncultured bacterium. RNAcentral's name for it is "bacterial SSU rRNA". It matches the Rfam family "Bacterial small subunit ribosomal RNA", at positions 362 to 758 of the family's 1533-position model. The record is from RNAcentral.
UUUUGGACAAUGGGCGAAAGCCUGAUCCAGCAAUGCCGCGUGUGGGAAGAAGGCCUUCGGGUUGUAAACCACUUUUGUACGGAACGAAAAGGUCUGCCCUAAUACGGUGGGCCCAUGACGGUACCGUAAGAAUAAGCACCGGCUAACUACGUGCCAGCAGCCGCGGUAAUACGUAGGGUGCGAGCGUUAAUCGGAAUUACUGGGCGUAAAGCGUGCGCAGGCGGUUAUAUAAGACAGUUGUGAAAUCCCCGGGCUCAACCUGGGAAUUGCAUCUGUGACUGUAUAGCUAGAGUACGGUAGAGGGGGAUGGAAUUCCGCGUGUAGCAGUGAAAUGCGUAGAUAUGUGGAGGAACACCGAUGGCGAAGGCAAUCCCCUGGACCUGUACUGACGCUCAUGCACGAAA